AUUGAGCGCUGGCGGAAUGCUUUACACAUGCAAGUCGAACGGCAGCACGGGGGCAACCCUGGUGGCGAGUGGCGAACGGGUGAGUAAUACAUCGGAACGUGCCCGGUCGUGGGGGAUAACGUAGCGAAAGUUACGCUAAUACCGCAUACGAUCUGAGGAUGAAAGCGGGGGACCUUCGGGCCUCGCGCGAUCGGAGCGGCCGAUGUCAGAUUAGGUAGUUGGUGGGGUAAAGGCCUACCAAGCCGACGAUCUGUAGCUGGUCUGAGAGGACGACCAGCCACACUGGGACUGAGACACGGCCCAGACUCCUACGGGAGGCAGCAGUGGGGAAUUUUGGACAAUGGGCGCAAGCCUGAUCCAGCCAUUCCGCGUGCAGGACGAAGGCCUUCGGGUUGUAAACUGCUUUUGGAUGGAACGAAAAGGCUCUGGCUAACACCUGGGGCUCAUGACGGUACCGUAAGAAUAAGCACCGGCUAACUACGUG
Molecule: ribosomal RNA, 484 nt
Filed under: uncultured bacterium
Lineage: Bacteria
Description: partial 16S ribosomal RNA
Rfam family: Bacterial small subunit ribosomal RNA
Source: RNAcentral